GCUGACACAAUGGGCUACAGACAGUCAGCUAACAGCUGAGUACAGUAUUUGUGGAGAAAGAGGCAACUCAGAACACAUCACCACAUAGACUUCCUGUUACAGAGGCAUCUCCACCAUAACUGGAUGGAAGUACCCAGAAAGGGACACCCCCGGCCUGACACCUGAGCAAGAAUGGAAGCAUCUGGAUCGGGUAAAGCAAACGAGGAAAAGAAACCAUCUUAUACAAAUGGCAUCUACCCAAGUAAGAAAUCGGCAGGUGUUGCCACCUCGUGAAGUCCUCAAUCAUCCGAUUAAUAUAGUAAGAGAAGUUUAAGGAAUACAAGUCCAAUAUAUUAGAUGAUAUACGUAUACCAAGAUAUUUUAUAUAAUU
Pseudophryne corroboree (corroboree frog) is the source of this 370-nucleotide long non-coding RNA. RefSeq lists it as uncharacterized. The record is from RefSeq and is a predicted model, not a curated record. NCBI's taxonomy places the organism in Eukaryota, Metazoa, Chordata, Amphibia, Anura, Myobatrachidae. The transcript is spliced from 3 exons.